This 252-nucleotide ribosomal RNA is filed under the name uncultured bacterium. RNAcentral's name for it is "partial 16S ribosomal RNA". It matches the Rfam family "Bacterial small subunit ribosomal RNA", at positions 524 to 776 of the family's 1533-position model. The record is from RNAcentral.
UACGUAGGGGGCAAGCGUUGUCCGGAAUUAUUGGGCGUAAAGCGCGCGCAGGCGGUUCUUUAAGUCUGGUGUCUAAGUGCGGGGCUCAACCCCGUGAUGCACUGGAAACUGGGGAACUUGAGUGUAGGAGAGGAAAGUGGAAUUCCACGUGUAGCGGUGAAAUGCGUAGAGAUGUGGAGGAACACCAGUGGCGAAGGCGACUUUCUGGCCUAUAACUGACGCUGAGGCGCGGAAGCGUGGGGAGCAAACAGG